This is a long non-coding RNA of Anolis carolinensis (green anole), 2643 nucleotides long. Lineage: Eukaryota; Metazoa; Chordata; Lepidosauria; Squamata; Anolidae. The record is from Ensembl.
GUGAUCUCCCAGACAGUGAUUCAGACAACAUGGCCAGUCCAGCAAAGAUGAUGGCGUAGAAGCAUUGCUUCAAUACUAGUGGUCUUUGCUUCUUCCAGCACACUGACGCUUGUCCACCUGUCUUCCCAAGAGAUUUGCAGGAUUUUUUUUUAGUGUGACCUUUGUAGACAUACCAUGUUUUGCAGAUGUAUAGCAGGGUUGGGAGGACAAUAGCUUUAUAAACAAGCACCUUGGUGUCCCUACGGAUGUCCCGAUCAUCAAACACUCUCUGCUUCGUUCAGAAAAAUGCUGCAGAGCUUAGAAGGUGUUAUAUUUCAGUGUCAAUGUUGACUUUUGUGGAGAGGUGGCUGCCAAGGUAGUGGAAAUGGUCUACAUUUUCCAACAGUACACUAUUAAGCUGUAUUUCUGACCUUGCAGAGGGAUUAGCUGGUGACUGCUGGAAGAGCACUUUGGUUUUCUCAUUGUUUAAUGAGAGGCCAAGCUUCUCGUAUGCUUCUGCAAAGGUGUUUAGAGUGGCUUGUAGGUCUUCUUCUGAAUGCCCACAGACAUAUUGGAGUUCUAUAACAGAUGUUGUGGUGACCUUGGUUUUGGCUAUCAGACAGCUGAGGUUAAAAAGCUUGCCGUCUGUCCAAUAGAUGAUUUGCACUCCGGUGAGAAGCUUUUCAUCAACAAGAUGAAGUAUCAUAGCGAUGAAGAUGGAAAAUAAAGUUGGGGCAAUAACACAUCCCUGUUUGACAGCUGAUUCCACCUUGAAUUGGUCACUUUGGGGAACCAUUGUUUUCCCAGACUGUUACUAUCAUGUCAUCAUGGAAGAGCUGCAGGAUGUUCACAAAUGUAUCAAGUCAUCUGAUUUUCUGGAGGAUGGUCCAGAGAGCAUUGUGAUUCACUGUGUCAAAUACCUUUGCAAGGUCAAUGAAUGCCAUGUACAGAGGUUGAUUUUGUUCCCUGCAUUUUUCUUGGAGCUGCCGUGCAGUGAAGAUCAUGUUCACUAUUCCUCUGGAGGGGUGGAAGCCAUUCUGGAAUUACUAUCUCUAGGGCAUGUAGGUUUCUGGCAUGCCUACUCAGAAAAAAGCUGUCCUGGGCAUCUUUCUUCAUUAUUUGCAAAGCUGGAGUGAACAGAAAUAAUUAACGCUCACUGGGGAAGUGCUCCAUUAUGCUAACCAUUAGAUUCAUAAUUCCCUGAUCAUCAGUAGUGAAAAGAUUGGAAAGUAAGGUUAACAGUUUGCAUUCUAACUUCUGUCCUGUUAUUUAGAAAGCAACUAUCCUGUUCUCUACAUUCUUGUAAAACAAAUAAAUCAACCCCAUCAGUAAAUAUCUAUUCCUACGUGGCAUCUAGGCUUGUGUUUAAAGGUAGUUACUGUACAUAAUAGGUAAUAUCCAAUGAGAUUUUAAAUGAAAAUAUACAAUGUAUUUGCUCGCUUCUGUAUUUUCUUUGUUGCUGAUCCUACAUCCAAAAUAGGUUCAGUACUUUGGACAGCUUCUUUAAAGCUUGAAUUAAAACCUGGAAUGUAUUCACCACACAAGCAACAUGGAAGCCAUCAGCUGCCAUUGCCUGGAGCCUUAGAAGUUGAUUGCUUUGUCUAAGCCAAAUAAUUGAAAAUGUUUCCUAUUAUCAUAACAACUCUUUCGUUAGCAUACCAUAGCAGGUGUCAUGGACAAGGUGUUGUCUUAUUAACCUUUUAUAUUAAAUAAUAGGUAAAGGUAAAGGUUUCCCCUGACGUUAAGUCCAGUCAUGUCUGACUCUGGGGGUUGGUGCUCAUCUCCAUUUCUAAGCCGAAGAGACGGCAUUGUCCGUAGACACCUCCAAGGUCAUGUGGCCGGCAUGACUGCAUGGAGCGCCGUUAUUGAAGAAUAGACGUGCAGGAAUUGUCCCUCCCAGUCACAUUAGCUCUGUGAGACCCAAUUUCCUUACCCCUGAAUUUCCUUGGUGGCCCCCCAAAAUCUGCCAGUCCUUCAAAAAAUGUUAAAAUAUUCCCAAUCAAUUUUGGGUGUUGUUGUUUUGCCUGAUGAUGGAUCAAGAAAACUCCCAAAUAGCCACAAAUGUGGUGGUUCAUUUGUUUCACAAGUUCAGAUUCCUUCAACCAUCAAACAACUAAUUUUAUAGCAGCCCCAAAUUCACCAAAAUGUUGGUCAGAAGUUAUUACAGAUUGAUGAUGAUAAAUGGAAGCUCUCACGUAUGCCCACGAUCUAGUCACCCGCAGAACAAUAACAUGCCACUCAGGUUUGCAGAACAAAAAUACAGGAACUUUACUGAUUCCAAGAGAUCAAAAGAAAAACAGUAGUAUUUACAAUGGUCCCUCUGAUCACUUACAGAAGUCCACAAUCAUAAACAGUCCUUUCUCAGUCCACAAAUUUGCUUCAGAGAAGAAUACAGUCCUGGUUCUUCACCCUCUUUUCUCAGCAGCAAACAGGCCUCAAAAUAGCAAUGCCCCUCUCUGUCCAAACCGGUUCUGCAGCAGCAGAACAGAAACAGUAUCAAGUCAAUCUCCAGGUCUUUGCGGGCUUAGCCAAUUAGCUUCAUACACUUCAUUUUCCAAUUAACACACACAGCACAGUGCCUUUGCAAACAAUGACAGAAGUGACAUCAUAUCUGGUGCACCCGAAAUGUCAAAAUCCCCACAGUCUCAAAUUUUGUAGAUAGCA